AGUAAAAUGACUGCGGAGUUUCUCAAAGCUCUAGCCAGAGAAUACAAAAAAGUGAAACUUCUAAGAAUAACACCAUGCGUAUGGAUUGCUGAUUAUCUCUCUGAGCCAUAUUCCUGGCUCUUUCAUAGUCUAUUGUUUUGCUCGGGUUUAACGAAAGUUAACGCGCAGGGCGGGAAUCUUCCGUUUCGACAAUUCUGCACUGUCUCUAGCUAAAACUGAAAAUUUUUUGAACCUCCGGUAGUGUACAAAUACAUUAUAAACAACCUUCGAAACCAAACGAAGGAAACCUUUGAAUUUCCUGCAUAAAAUGAAAAUCACGGCAUGCAGAAUACACAUACAACAGGAAAAGUGAAUGCAAAUGGCAAGCUGGGAUAUAUAGUUGCACGUUCACAGUCUUCUCCAGAAGUGACAACUUUAAAUGGAUUAAAAAACUUUGUGACUGAAAGACACUCAUUCACUGGAGCUCUAGAAGAGCUACGAAUAAGUAAUACAAUGAAAGAACAGCCAGAAAGCAGGGAAAUGCCAGCUGUAAGCCCUAUUACAACUCAAGUGCGGUGUCCAUGUGGCUGCUACCUGAAGCCAGCUGUUGGUGUAAAUAUACGAACACGAGAGAAGAGCACAAUGCAGCUGCAUGUUGUGGGAUCAGAAAUUCUCAACUAUCAGGGUCGUAUCUACUCACCUGAAGACAUAGCACCAAUCUGGAAAAAAGAUUGUCGUACUUGGCUUUGGAAGUCAUCAACAAAAGUUGAGAGAUAGCAUUCCAAAAGUUCUUCAGUAUGCCUCAGUCCUGGAAGCAAGACUUUUAUCCCAUAUGUAAUUAAUCAACACCUUUGUACAAAGUGGCUAAAAAAUUUAACAGUAUAUAACUUUUCAUGAGUAUUAUAAAACAACACAUACUUCUUUUCAAUGUAUACUAUAUGAAGCAAAUAUACACUUUCUUAAAUAACUUA
Schistocerca gregaria is the source of this 950-nucleotide long non-coding RNA. RefSeq lists it as uncharacterized. The record is from RefSeq and is a predicted model, not a curated record. The transcript has 2 exons. Lineage: Eukaryota; Metazoa; Arthropoda; Insecta; Orthoptera; Acrididae.